GGCAAGUUGGCCGAGUGGUUAAGGCGGUGGGUUUAAGUUCCACUAUCGCGAGAUGCGUGGGUUCGAACCCCACACUUGUCA
Clonostachys solani is the source of this 81-nucleotide non-coding RNA. NCBI's taxonomy places the organism in Eukaryota, Fungi, Ascomycota, Sordariomycetes, Hypocreales, Bionectriaceae. The record is from the annotation of a GenBank genome assembly.